UCCCUGACUGUCCAGUGGUUAAGACUGUACUCUUCCAAUGCAGUGAACACAGGUUCGAUCCCUGGUCAGGGAA
Molecule: transfer RNA, 73 nt
Filed under: Ovis aries (sheep)
Lineage: Eukaryota; Metazoa; Chordata; Mammalia; Artiodactyla; Bovidae
Rfam family: tRNA
About the family: Transfer RNA (tRNA) molecules are approximately 80 nucleotides in length. Their secondary structure includes four short double-helical elements and three loops (D, anti-codon, and T loops).
Source: Rfam by way of RNAcentral